RNAcentral lists this ribosomal RNA (468 nucleotides) under uncultured bacterium. RNAcentral's name for it is "partial 16S ribosomal RNA". It matches the Rfam family "Bacterial small subunit ribosomal RNA", at positions 28 to 507 of the family's 1533-position model. The record is from RNAcentral.
GACGAACGCUGGCGGCGUGCUUAACACAUGCAAGUCGAACGGAAAGGCCCUGCUUUUGUGGGGUGCUCGAGUGGCGAACGGGUGAGUAACACGUGAGUAACCUGCCCUUGACUUUGGGAUAACUUCAGGAAACUGGGGCUAAUACCGGAUAGGAGCUCCUGCUGCAUGGUGGGGGUUGGAAAGUUUCGGCGGUUGGGGAUGGACUCGCGGCUUAUCCGCUUGUUGGUGAGGUAGUGGCUUACCAAGGCUUUGACGGGUAGCCGGCCUGAGAGGGUGACCGGCCACAUGGGGACUGCGAGACGGACCAGACGCCUACGGGAGGCAGCAGUGGGGAAUAUGGCACAAUGGGCGGAAGCCUGAUGCAGCAACGCCGCGUGCGGGAUGACGGCCUUCGGGUUGUAAACCGCUUUCGCCUGUGACGAAGCGUGAGUGACGGUAAUGGGUAAAGAAGCACCGGCUAACUACGUG